This 280-nucleotide ribosomal RNA is filed under the name uncultured bacterium. RNAcentral's name for it is "partial 16S ribosomal RNA". It matches the Rfam family "Bacterial small subunit ribosomal RNA", at positions 524 to 803 of the family's 1533-position model. The record is from RNAcentral.
UACGUAGGUGGCAAGCGUUGUCCGGAUUUAUUGGGCGUAAAGCGAGCGCAGGCGGUUUUCUAAGUCUGAUGUGAAAGCCCCCGGCUCAACCGGGGAGGGUCAUUGGAAACUGGGAGACUUGAGUGCAGAAGAGGAGAGUGGAAUUCCAUGUGUAGCGGUGAAAUGCGUAGAUAUAUGGAGGAACACCAGUGGCGAAGGCGGCUCUCUGGUCUGUAACUGACGCUGAGGCUCGAAAGCGUGGGGAGCAAACAGGAUUAGAUACCCUGCUAGUCCACGCCGU